CCUACGGGAGGCAGCAGUGGGGAAUAUUGCACAAUGGGGGCAACCCUGAUCCAGCGACGCAGCGUGAGUGAAGAAGGAUUUCGGUAUGUAAAGCUUUAUCAGCAGGGAAGAUAAUUACGGUACCUGACUAAGAAGCCCCGGCUAACUACGUGCCAGCAGCCGCGGUAAUACGGCGGGGGCAAGCGUUAUCCGGAUUUACUGGGGUUAAAGGGAGCGUAGGUGGUUGGGCAAGUCAGAUGUGAAAAGCUGGGGCUCAACCCCAGGAGUGCAUUUGAGACUGUCCAGUUGGAGUGCAGGAGAGGUAAGCGGAAUUCCUAGUGUAGCGGUGAAAUGCAUAGAUAUUAGGAGGAACUCCGGUGGCGAAGGCAGCUUACUGGACUGUAACUGACACUGAGGCUCGAAAGCGUGGGGAGCAAACAGGAUUAGAUACCCGAGUAGUC
Molecule: ribosomal RNA, 440 nt
Filed under: uncultured bacterium
Lineage: Bacteria
Description: partial 16S ribosomal RNA
Rfam family: Bacterial small subunit ribosomal RNA
Source: RNAcentral